Molecule: long non-coding RNA, 1161 nt
Organism: Trifolium pratense (red clover)
Lineage: Eukaryota; Viridiplantae; Streptophyta; Magnoliopsida; Fabales; Fabaceae
Exons: 2
Source: RefSeq, a predicted model, not a curated record
UAUCACUUUAUUAUUUGGUACCGAUUUUGUGCACUUGCAGAACCACCGUCAAUUGGCUUAAUUCAGUUCACUUCAAUUUAAAUCUGCUUUGUUUCUGACUAUGACUUUAACGCUGAUGUCUAAAUCAUUAAGUAAGAAGUAUGUGUUCAUCCUCUACUUAACUAUAUUUCUUAAUUUACAUUUAUUACUAGAUCUCAUAAUAAUAAACUUGUGUUCAGAUCUAAGUUGAUCAAACGUAUUAUAAGAAAUAAAGAUGCACAAAACAACAUAAUCAUUUCACAUGAAUAACACAUUGGACUUGCAUUGAACUUCACAUAAUUCCAAUAACAAGAGUUUUAGCCCAUGAUAAACUUAACAAUACAUACAACCAAAAUCAUAGAUUUACGCAUCAUAAAAAAGUUUAGAAGUGUAACAUAAGAAGAACAACAACCAAAGAUAAAUCUAUGAUAUUUUUGUUGUGAUUUUCCCUUUUUUAGCAUGAGUUAUCAAUGUGUCAAAAUCAUAAUAUGAGUUAUCGGUGUGUCACAAUAUUAUUUUUGUUUUGUGAUUUUGCCUUUCCUAGUAUGAAGGGUUAUAAAAUAAUUAAAAUUUGGUAAAAAAAAUAUAAGUAUGAAUCAUACGAUUUGUAAAUUUUAUGUAACCUCCUUACUAAAGCUGUUAAAGGGGUAUAUUAAUGCAUUGGUUAUACUUAAGAGACAUUUAAUAAUUAUUUUAAUUUUAGGAAGUCUAAUCAUUUUAGAACUCUAUAAAUGUUAAAAAUUAUUUAUUUGAUGCAAGGAGAAUUUGAGCUUUAUAUAUCAAAAAGCGAUAAAAUCAUAUUCUAUUUAUACAUGCAACAGUUGUAAAAUAUGAAUAAAAUUGAAAAGUUUGUUUAUAAUAUAAUUAUCCUUCUUUCCCUAUUUCUUGUUUCAACAAGCUCUCAAGAUAUUCGAUGUGUCUUACCAAAACGAAAAAAUAUUCAUUGUCUUCGUAAAGGUGAUUGUCCAUACAAUUUUUGCCCAUAUCCUACAAACACAAAGUGUAUUAAUGGUUUUUGUCAUUGUAGUAAUUAAUUAAAUAUAAAGCUCUAUAGGUACCUAUGAGUUGUAAUGUAGUUAUUGUGGUAACUAAUAAUUUAAUUUUCUUUUAACUUUUAAAAUUUCAUGAACCUUUUUUGUACUA